GUCUACGGCCAUACCACCCUGAACGCGCCCGAUCUCGCCUGAUCUCGGAAGCUAAGCAGAGUCGGGCCUGGUUAGUACUUGGAUGGCAGACAUGGCCGAAACUGAGAGUCAGGAACU
Ribosomal RNA from Ochotona princeps (American pika), 117 nucleotides. NCBI's taxonomy places the organism in Eukaryota, Metazoa, Chordata, Mammalia, Lagomorpha, Ochotonidae. The record is from Ensembl.